CUAUUUAACUAGCUUUUAGCCCUCUAAACUGGGUCGUUUUUGUAUCAAAUUCAAUUUAGCUUUGUUUGUCAAAUUUGUCUGGGGGUGCAUAAAAAUCGCAGAAAAGCUCCAUUGUCUAUUGAAACGGUGUCAAAUGAUAGCUCUAGUCACACUGGAACAGACCAUGUGGGCUACAUUACUGAGAAUGUCCUAUUUAACUAGCUUUUAGCCCUCUAAACUGGGUCGUUUUUGUAUCAAAUUCAAAUUAGCUUUGUUUGUCAAAUUUGUCUGAGGGUGCAUAAAAAUCGCAGAAAAGCUCCAUUGUCUAUUGAAACGGUGUCAAAUGAUAGCUCUAGUCACACUGGAACAGACCAUGUGUGCUACAUUACUGAGAAUGUCCUAUUUAACUAGCUUUUAGCCCUCUAAACUGGGUCGUUUUUGUAGUAAAUUCAAUUUAGCUUUGUUUGUCAAAUUUGUCUGA
Molecule: long non-coding RNA, 460 nt
Filed under: Salmo salar (Atlantic salmon)
Lineage: Eukaryota; Metazoa; Chordata; Actinopteri; Salmoniformes; Salmonidae
Description: lncRNA (ENSSSAG00000122232.1)
Source: RNAcentral